ACAGGGGGGGUAAGCGUUGUUCGGAAUUACUGGGCGUAAAGGGUUCGUAGGUGGCUUGCUAAGUCUGACGUGAAAUCCCUCAGCUUAACUGGGGAACUGCGUCCGAUACUGGAUGGCUUGAGUUCGGGAGAGGGAUGCGGAAUUCCAGGUGUAGCGGUGAAAUGCGUAGAUAUCUGGAGGAACACCGGUGGCGAAGGCGGCAUCCUGGACCGACACUGACGCUGAGGAGCGAAAGCCAGGGGAGCAAACGGGA
RNAcentral lists this ribosomal RNA (253 nucleotides) under uncultured prokaryote. RNAcentral describes it as "partial 16S ribosomal RNA". It matches the Rfam family "Bacterial small subunit ribosomal RNA", at positions 525 to 777 of the family's 1533-position model. The record is from RNAcentral.